AUUGAACGCUGGCGGCAGGCCUAACACAUGCAAGUCGAGCGGAUGAAGGGAGCUUGCUCCUGGAUUCAGCGGCGGACGGGUGGGUAAUGCCUAGGAAUCUGCCUGGUAGUGGGGGAUAACGUCCGGAAACGGGCGCUAAUACCGCAUACGUCCUGAGGGAGAAAGUGGGGGAUCUUCGGACCUCACGCUAUCAGAUGAGCCUAGGUCGGAUUAGCUAGUUGGUGGGGUAAAGGCCUACCAAGGCGACGAUCCGUAACUGGUCUGAGAGGAUGAUCAGUCGCACUGGAACUGAGACACGGUCCAGACUCCUACGGGAGGCAGCAGUGGGGAAUAUUGGACAAUGGGCGAAAGCCUGAUCCAGCCAUGCCGCGUGUGUGAAGAAGGUCUUCGGAUUGUAAAGCACUUUAAGUUGGGAGGAAGGGCAGUAAGUUAAUACCUUGCUGUUUUGACGUUACCAACAGAAUAAGCACCGGCUAACUUCGUG
Molecule: ribosomal RNA, 484 nt
Filed under: uncultured bacterium
Lineage: Bacteria
Description: partial 16S ribosomal RNA
Rfam family: Bacterial small subunit ribosomal RNA
Source: RNAcentral